AGCGAACACUGGCGGCAGGCUUAACACAUGCAAGUCGAGCGGGCACUUCGGUGUCAGCGGCAGACGGGUGAGUAACACGUGGGAACGUACCCUUCGGUUCGGAAUAACGCUGGGAAACUGGCGCUAAUACCGGAUACGCCCUUUUGGGGAAAGGUUUACUGCCGAAGGAUCGGCCCGCGUCUGAUUAGCUAGUUGGUGGGGUAAUGGCCUACCAAGGCGACGAUCAGUAGCUGGUCUGAGAGGAUGAUCAGCCACACUGGGACUGAGACACGGCCCAGACUCCUACGGAGGGCAGCAGUGGGGAAGAUUGGACGAUGGGCGAAAGCCUAAUCCAGCCAGACCGCGUGAGUGAUGAAGGCCUUAGGGUUGUAAAGCUCUUUUAUCCGGGACGAUAAUGACGGUACCGGAAGAAUAAGCCCCGGCUAACUUCGU
This 432-nucleotide ribosomal RNA is filed under the name uncultured bacterium. Its description in RNAcentral is "partial 16S ribosomal RNA". It matches the Rfam family "Bacterial small subunit ribosomal RNA", at positions 29 to 506 of the family's 1533-position model. The record is from RNAcentral.